Molecule: ribosomal RNA, 468 nt
Filed under: uncultured bacterium
Lineage: Bacteria
Description: partial 16S ribosomal RNA
Rfam family: Bacterial small subunit ribosomal RNA
Source: RNAcentral
GACGAACGCUGGCGGCGUGCUUAACACAUGCAAGUCGAACGGACAGGCCCUGCUUUUGCGGGGUGCUCGAGUGGCGAACGGGUGAGUAACACGUGAGUAUCCUGCCCUUGACUUUGGGAUAACUUCAGGAAACUGGGGCUAAUACCGGAUAGGAGCUCCUGCUGCAUGGUGGGGGUUGGAAAGUUUCGGCGGUUGGGGAUGGAAUAGCGGCUUAUCAGCUUGUUGGUGGGGUAGUGGCUUACCAAGGCUUUGACGGGUAGCCGGCCUGAGAGGGUGACCGGCCACAUUGGGACUGAGAUACGGACCAGACUCCAACGGGAGGCAGCAGUGGGGAAUAUUGCACAAUGGGCGGAAGCCUGAUGCAGCAACGCCGCGUGCGGAAUGACGGCCUUCGGGUUGUAAACCGCUUUCGCCUGUGACAAAGCGUGAGUGACGGUAAUGGGUAAAGAAGCACCGGCUAACUACGUG